This 324-nucleotide unclassified non-coding RNA is filed under the name uncultured Sistotrema. RNAcentral describes it as "sequence contains ITS2". Lineage: Eukaryota; Fungi; Basidiomycota; Agaricomycetes; Corticiales; Corticiaceae. The record is from RNAcentral.
AACGCACCUUGCGCUCCUUGGUAUUCCGAGGAGCACGCCUGUUCGAGUGUCAUGAAGCUCUCAAGCGAUAAUAACUUUAUUGUUGUUAUUUAGCUUGGAUUUGGGACCUGCUGUGUUACAACGGCUGUCCCUAAAUGUAUUAGCCGGCUCUAAUGGAAGACUAGGUUCUUACUCGGUGUGAUAAUUAUCUUACGCUGAGGACAUUUCUCUUGUAAAAGGGAGAGAUGGCCAAGACUACUUUUAGGCUGCUUCUAAUCGUCUCUUCUGACAAACAAAUUAUUCAAAUCUGACCUCGAAUCAGGUGGGACUACCCGCUGAACUUAA